GGAUGUGAGGGCCAUCUGGCUACCACAUCUGUCUCCUCACUCAUCACCAGGGUUGGUUCUGCUGAUCUAACUGGCUAGGAUCCCCUUCCUCCCUCACAGCUCCAUGUGCAUCCCUUCCUAAACUGCUCUGGGCCAAAGAACAGCCUUUUCAAUAGAAGACAACCUUUCUUUAGUCAAGGGUAUUAUGUGUAGCUAUGCUUCCCUGCUAGAACCUUCAAUCAAGAUCUCUAGGGCCAAAGUCUAACCACUACUAAGAGGUGGAGCUCAGUGUCCCAUGGAGCCAUCAUGGUUCCAAAGUACUCAGUCACUUCACUCACCCUUCCAAA
RNAcentral lists this small nuclear RNA (326 nucleotides) under Marmota monax (woodchuck). It matches the Rfam family "7SK RNA". Rfam says of the family: 7SK was discovered as an abundant small nuclear RNA in the mid-70s but a possible function has only recently been suggested. Two independent studies have found that 7SK RNA binds the CDK9/cyclin T complex (known as elongation factor P-TEFb). Lineage: Eukaryota; Metazoa; Chordata; Mammalia; Rodentia; Sciuridae. The record is from RNAcentral.